This 385-nucleotide ribosomal RNA is filed under the name Euryoryzomys lamia (monster rice rat). Its description in RNAcentral is "partial 12S ribosomal RNA". It matches the Rfam family "Bacterial small subunit ribosomal RNA", at positions 795 to 1381 of the family's 1533-position model. The record is from RNAcentral. Lineage: Eukaryota; Metazoa; Chordata; Mammalia; Rodentia; Cricetidae.
CUUAGCCUUAAACUUCAAUAAUUCUUACAACAAAAUUAUUUGCCAGAGAACUACUAGCCACAGCUUAAAACUCAAAGGACUUGGCGGUACUUUAUAUCCACCUAGAGGAGCCUGUUCUAUAAUCGAUACACCCCGUUACACCUUACCACCCCUUGCUAAUUCAGCCUAUAUACCGCCAUCUUCAGCAAACCUUAAAAAAGUAUAAAAGUAAGCAAGAGUACCCGCAUAAAAACGUUAGGUCAAGGUGUAGCCUAUGGGGUGGAAAGUAAUGGGCUACAUUUUCUUCCACAAGAACAUACGAAACUCUUUUUGAAACUAAAGGAAUAAAGGAGGAUUUAGUAGUAAAUUAAGAAUAGAGAGCUUAAUUGAAUAGACAAGUGAAGUA